RNAcentral lists this ribosomal RNA (250 nucleotides) under uncultured bacterium. Its description in RNAcentral is "partial 16S ribosomal RNA". It matches the Rfam family "Bacterial small subunit ribosomal RNA", at positions 524 to 772 of the family's 1533-position model. The record is from RNAcentral.
CACGUAGGGGGCGAGCGUUGUCCGGAUUUAUUGGGCGUAAAGAGCUCGUAGGCGGCUCGGUAAGUCGGGUGUGAAAACUCAGGGCUCAACCCUGAGACGCCACCUGAUACUGCUGUGGCUAGAGUCCGGUAGGGGAGCGUGGAAUUCCUGGUGUAGCGGUGAAAUGCGCAGAUAUCAGGAGGAACACCAGCGGCGAAGGCGGCGCUCUGGGCCGGAACUGACGCUGAGGAGCGAAAGCGUGGGGAGCAAA